Molecule: long non-coding RNA, 574 nt
Organism: Brachypodium distachyon (stiff brome)
Lineage: Eukaryota; Viridiplantae; Streptophyta; Magnoliopsida; Poales; Poaceae
Exons: 2
Source: RefSeq, a predicted model, not a curated record
CCAGUGCUAGCUAGCUAGCAGAGCAGGGCGGGCUGCUCGCUCCAUCCUUGAGCUGUGCCGGCUCGAUCUGUGUUUGCGCCAGCCAGCCAGCUAGCUGCAGCCUCCGGCCGGUUAAUCGUGUUCCUUCCUUCAUUCCUUCCUUCCGGCCGGCCGGUGGUUAAUUAACGCGCGCGCGGAUAUAUAUACUCGAUCAUGGCUGGUAACAUGGACGAAUCUUACUGGUCCAGAAACGUGUUUCAAGAGUUUGAGUUCUCCGUGGCGCGUCUCAACUUUCGAGGUCGUUUCCUUGGCAAUGGCUUCGUUGUUCACUGUGACGAGGAGGGGACUUGUCUUCUAAUGACAUGUCGACAUAUUUUCGAAGAUGUUCGUGACCCAUGGAGUGCAGCCGUGGAUGCCUAUUUCUCUCGUAGCAACGAUCCUUUUUUCCGAGCACGACUUCUUUAUCUUGAUGAAACCAGGGACCUCUCUUUUUGACUGAAUGGGGUAGUGCCUAUGGGCUGAUGGGGUAGUGCCUGCUGCACAAAUAUUACAUGUAAAACUUAUAUAAUUCUUAUCAAAAUAUUACAUGUAUCUA